GGAUAAUCUACCCUUAGGACUGGGAUAACCCUGGGAAACUGGGGCUAAUACCGGAUAGGCAAUUUUUCCUGCAAUGGUUUUUUGUUUAAAUGUUUUUUCGCCUAAGGAUGAGUCUGCGGCCGAUUAGGUAGUUGGUUAGGUAAUGGCUUACCAAGCCGGUGAUCGGUACGGGUUGUGAGAGCAAGAGCCCGGAGAUGGAACCUGAGACAAGGUUCCAGGCCCUACGGGGUGCAGCAGGCGCGAAACCUCCGCAAUGUGAGAAAUCGCGACGGGGGGAUCCCAAGUGCCAUUCUUAACGGGAUGGCUUUUCAUUAGUGUAAAGAGCUUUUGGAAUAAGAGCUGGGCAAGACCGGUGCCAGCCGCCGCGGUAACACCGGCAGCUCUAGUGGUAACAAUUUUUAUUGGGCCUAAAGCGUCCGUAGCCGGUUUAAUAAGUCUCUGGUGAAAUCCUGUAGCUUAACUGUGGGAAUUGCUGGAGAUACUAUUAGACUUGAGACCGGGAGAGGUUAGAGGUACUCCCAGGGUAGAGGUGAAAUUCUGUAAUCCUGGGAGGACCGCCUGUUGCGAAGGCGUCUAACUGGAACGGUUCUGACGGUGAGGGACGAAAGUUAGGGGCGCGAACCGGAUUAGAUACCCGGGUAGUCCUAACUGUAAACGAUGCGGACUUGGUGUUGGGGUGGCUUUGAGCUGCUCCAGUGCC
RNAcentral lists this ribosomal RNA (700 nucleotides) under uncultured archaeon. RNAcentral describes it as "bacterial SSU rRNA". It matches the Rfam family "Archaeal small subunit ribosomal RNA", at positions 102 to 802 of the family's 1478-position model. The record is from RNAcentral.